Molecule: ribosomal RNA, 506 nt
Filed under: uncultured bacterium
Lineage: Bacteria
Description: partial 16S ribosomal RNA
Rfam family: Bacterial small subunit ribosomal RNA
Source: RNAcentral
AGUGAACGCUGGCGGUAGGCCUAACACAUGCAAGUCGAACGGCAGCACAGGAGAGCUUGCUCUCUGGGUGGCGAGUGGCGGACGGGUGAGGAAUACAUCGGAAUCUACUCUGUCGUGGGGGAUAACGUAGGGAAACUUACGCUAAUACCGCAUACGACCUACGGGUGAAAGCAGGGGACCUUCGGGCCUUGCGCGAUUGAAUGAGCCGAUGUCGGAUUAGCUAGUUGGCGGGGUAAAGGCCCACCAAGGCGACGAUCCGUAGCGGGUCUGAGGGGAUGAUCAGCCACACUGGUACGGAGACACGGUCCAGACUCCUACGGGAGGCAGCAGUGGGGAAUAUUGGACAAUGGGCGCAAGCCUGAUCCAGCCAUACCGCGUGGGUGAAGAAGGCCUUCGGGUUGUAAAGCCCUUUUGUUGGGAAAGAAAUCCAGCUGGCUAAUACCCGGUUGGGAUGACGGUACCCAAAGAAUAAGCACCGGCUAACUUCGUGCCAGCCGCCGCCGUAA